AUGGAUGGGCGGCAGCUCGCCGGAGUAGCACUGGGCGGGUGGAUGGCGGCCGCUUGCCGGAGCAGCACGGACGCCGGUGCACUGGUGCCAUCACCCGUGGGCGUGGCCGGCGAGCCCAUCAAGGCCGUGCCGCUGGCUGCCGCCGCUCUCAAGGAGAGAGCUGAGCCGCCGGGGAUACGCGCACCCAAGGGCCUGCUCGCGCACCUGAGCCUCCGCAUCGACCUGCCCGUGCACUUCAUCGACGAGAAGACCGUGACCGCCACCGACGUGGAUCCGCAGCAGAACCGGUUCCGCCUCCCGAUCGACGGCGUGAUGCGCAACCUCCGCCCGGUCCUCUCCCACCUAGAUCGCCGGGCCGCCAACCUGGUGCACGUGGAAACCCCAAGACCAUGGCUGCCGAAGCUACCCAAGGUUCCUGGGGAGAAGACGAAGAAGAGAAGGGGAAGGGAGCACGACGGCCUUCCCGUGCUCGUGAUCGAGCGCUACGCCGGCAUCAGGGAGCUGCAGUUGAUGCGGUGGGAGAGCAGCGGCGUCUGCGUCAUCAAGGGAGAGGGAUACAUGGACUUCAUCAAUAACUGCGGCUUCAGUGUGGGUGACGUGGUGGAGAUCUGGGCUUUCGAGCAGAAAGCCUUGCGUUUGUUCAGCGUGGAUAUCUACCAGAAGGGGUACCAGGAGAGCCCUCUCUAG
RNAcentral lists this ribosomal RNA (687 nucleotides) under Triticum aestivum (bread wheat). RNAcentral describes it as "partial small subunit ribosomal RNA". Lineage: Eukaryota; Viridiplantae; Streptophyta; Magnoliopsida; Poales; Poaceae. The record is from RNAcentral.